This 679-nucleotide ribosomal RNA is filed under the name Clostridium sp. MCC328. RNAcentral describes it as "partial 23S ribosomal RNA". It matches the Rfam family "Bacterial large subunit ribosomal RNA", at positions 2246 to 2925 of the family's 2925-position model. The record is from RNAcentral. Lineage: Bacteria; Bacillati; Bacillota; Clostridia; Eubacteriales; Clostridiaceae.
CGGGGACAAUGUCAGGUGGGGAGUUUGACUGGGGCGGUCGCCUCCGAAAGGGUAUCGGAGGCGCUCAAAGGUUCCCUCAGAAUGGUUGGAAACCAUUCGAAGAGUGCAAAGGCAGAAGGGAGCUUGACUGCGAGACCGACGGGUCGAGCAGGUAGGAAACUAGGACUUAGUGAUCCGGUGGUAUGAAAGUGGGAUUGCCAUCGCUCAACGGAUAAAAGCUACCCUGGGGAUAACAGGCUUAUCACUCCCAAGAGUUCACAUCGACGGAGUGGUUUGGCACCUCGAUGUCGGCUCAUCGCAUCCUGGGGCUGAAGUAGGUCCCAAGGGUUGGGCUGUUCGCCCAUUAAAGCGGUACGCGAGCUGGGUUCAGAACGUCGUGAGACAGUUCGGUCCCUAUCCGGCGCAGGCGGAGGAUAUUUGAGAGGAGCUGUCCUUAGUACGAGAGGACCGGGAUGGACGGACCGCUGGUGUACCGGUUGAGCUGCUAAGCUCAUGGCCGGGUAGCCAAGUCUGGCAGGGAUAAACGCUGAAGGCAUCUAAGCGUGAAGCCCCCCUCAAGAUGAGAUAUCCCAUUCGAAAGAAGUAAGACCCCUUGAAGACGACGAGGUAGAUAGGGCAGAGGUGGAAGUGCAGUAAUGUACGGAGCUGACUGUUACUAAUCGGUCGAGGGCUUAUCCAG